UGGGGAAUAUUGCACAAUGGGCGCAAGCCUGAUGCAGCCAUGCCGCGUGUGUGAAGAAGGCCUUCGGGUUGUAAAGCACUUUCAGCGGGGAGGAAGGCGAUAAGGUUAAUAACCUUGUCGAUUGACGUUACCCGCAGAAGAAGCACCGGCUAACUCCGUGCCAGCAGCCGCGGUAAUACGGAGGGUGCAAGCGUUAAUCGGAAUUACUGGGCGUAAAGCGCACGCAGGCGGUCUGUCAAGUCGGAUGUGAAAUCCCCGGGCUCAACCUGGGAACUGCCUUCGAAACUGGCAGGCUAGAGUCUUGUAGAGGGGGGUAGAAUUCCAGGUGUAGCGGUGAAAUGCGUAGAGAUCUGGAGGAAUACCGGUGGCGAAGGCGGCCCCCUGGACAAAGACUGACGCUCAGGUGCGAAAGCGUGGGGAGCAAACAGG
Molecule: ribosomal RNA, 429 nt
Filed under: Chloroflexota bacterium
Lineage: Bacteria; Bacillati; Chloroflexota
Description: Chloroflexi bacterium partial 16S ribosomal RNA
Rfam family: Bacterial small subunit ribosomal RNA
Source: RNAcentral